GUUUUGACAUAAUGAGCCAAAUUCUGCAAAAAAUGUGUAAUGUGGUGCUCUUUCCGAUGACAUGAAUGACGCCUCUGGAAAUGAGGGAAUCUAAAAGCCAACGUGCACAACUGGUCAAGGAGGGUUGCCCGAUGCUUGACGCGCGCGCGCGCGCGCGUUCCUGGCUGUCAAAUGGCAACAAGCAGCCAUCGCGAGGGCAACUCCUCCCAGCUGAGCUGACAACACGAACCCACUUGCCACCGUCCACAGCGCGAUGGUGUCGUGGAUAAUCUCCAGACUUGUUGUGCUCGUAUUUGGGACAUUGUACCCUGCAUACUCCUCCUACAAAGCUGUGAAAUCGAAGGAUGUGAGAGAAUAUGUGAAAUGGAUGAUGUACUGGAUUAUAUUCGCUCUCUUCACCACAGCGGAAGUCCUCACUGAUAUCUUCCUCUACUGGUGAGAGC
Long non-coding RNA from Alosa sapidissima (American shad), 443 nucleotides. RefSeq lists it as uncharacterized. NCBI's taxonomy places the organism in Eukaryota, Metazoa, Chordata, Actinopteri, Clupeiformes, Clupeidae. The transcript is spliced from 3 exons. The record is from RefSeq and is a predicted model, not a curated record.